This 1679-nucleotide long non-coding RNA is filed under the name Macaca mulatta (Rhesus monkey). RNAcentral's name for it is "lncRNA (ENSMMUG00000060803.1)". Lineage: Eukaryota; Metazoa; Chordata; Mammalia; Primates; Cercopithecidae. The record is from RNAcentral.
CUUCUCAUAUCUGCUUCUGCAGUCUGUCUAUUGCAGCGUGGCGUGUCAUGAGGUCUUUGGAAAACUCCACCGUGCACACAGAAGAGAAAGAGUGAAAAAAGGCAAAUAUCCUCUUAGUAUUGUUAUGAAACUAGUUUUGACUUCACAUACUCCCUGGUAAAGGCUUGGGGCCAGGAACCACACUUGGAACUGCUGCUGGGAUGCAGUGAUGGAGAAAGGGCUCACAGGAGCACAAGGCCUCAGAGAGAAGGAGUUAACUAUGUGAAGCCUCCUGGCUUUAAAAAGCAUGGAGAUUGUUGCUGGGCGCGGUGUUUCCCACGUGUAAUCCCAGCACUUUGGGAGGCCGAGAUGGGUGGAUCACUUGAGGUCAGGAGUUCGAGGCCAGUCUGGCCAACAUGGUGAAACACUGUCUCUACUAAAAAUACAAAAAUUAACUGGGCAUGGUGGCCCAGGCCUGAAGUCCCAGCUCCUUGGGAGGCUGAGGCAGGAGAAUCGCUUGAACCCAGGAGGCAGAGGUUGCAGUGAGCUGAGAUUGGGCCACUGCACUCCAGACUGGGCGACAAGAGUGAAACUCCAUCUCAAAAACAAAACAAAAGCAUGGAAAUUGUACGGUGUGCUUCACUGCGAAUUCUGGUCCUGACUUGGUCUUAGAAUAGCUGCGGGACUAUGGACAGGUACCCUGCCCUCUCUGAACCUCAGUUUCCCGGUCUGCUUUAUGAAAAGGGUGGCCUCUAACAUUCCAGGCCGCGCCCCUCCCCCAGCCUUCCCCAAGCCUCUGGGAGGUUCCAGGAGGAAUUUCAGAGCAACUCUUCCGUUUGCCAGCAGAAGGCGAUGGAGACCAGCCUCGGCUGGACUACUUCCUCCCCAGAGGCCCUUCACCGCCUCCCCAUCCAGACCCAAGGUUCCCUAGUGGUCCGGACGGUUUCCUUGGCAUCGCUGGCACCAGCAGACAGACCUGCAAAGAAGAGAAGCUGGUCUGGACUCCGGCCUUCCUUCACAACACAUGGACAGGUAAAUAAAAUUAAUGGCAUGUGUCUCUUUUUUGCAAGAGAAGGAUAACCACAGUAUAUCCUUUACAACAAAUAUGUAUGUUCAAAGCACAUGAAAUGUAUGUCUCUUGAAGGACAAAAUAGCCUUGGAAUAUCAUUUUGAAGCCAAGGAGAAAAGUAACUUUUUCUGGCUGGGUGCAGUGGCUCAUGCCUGUAGUCCCAGCACAUUGGGAGGAUGACUCAGGAGGAUCUCUUAAGCCCGAGAGUUUAAGACUAGCCUGGGCAACAUGGCGAAGCCCCCAUGUCUACAAAAACACAAAAAUUAGCCAGGCGUGGUGGUGCGCACCUGUAGUCCCAGCUACUCAGGAGGCCGAGGUGGGAGGAUGGCUGGAACCCAGGAUGUCAAGGCUGCAGUGAGCUGAGAUUGUACCACUGCACUCCAGCCCAGGUGACAGAGUGAGACCCUGUCUUGGGAAAAAAAGGUAACUUUUUCUUAACAUGUAAACAGGGAGAAAAGUAAUAGAAAAGGAGAAAAUGGUACUCCUCAUCAGUGAAGUGAGUGAAAAAUUAAGUGGGGAUAGCAGAGAGGGAAAGAGAGGGGAAGGGAAAUUAAGCAGAAGUCACAGUAGCCUGAGGAAUGAGACAGAGGAGGAUGAGGGGGAGGAGAGGCAGAGGCAGAGGAGGAGGAGG